AGGGGCGUCGCCAAGUGGCAAGGCACCGGAUUUUGAUUCCGGCAUUCCCAGGUUCGAAUCCUGGCGCCCCUGCCA
Molecule: transfer RNA, 75 nt
Filed under: Desulfuromonas sp.
Lineage: Bacteria; Pseudomonadati; Thermodesulfobacteriota; Desulfuromonadia; Desulfuromonadales; Desulfuromonadaceae
Description: tRNA-Gln
Rfam family: tRNA
About the family: Transfer RNA (tRNA) molecules are approximately 80 nucleotides in length. Their secondary structure includes four short double-helical elements and three loops (D, anti-codon, and T loops). Further hydrogen bonds mediate the characteristic L-shaped molecular structure. tRNAs have two regions of fundamental functional importance: the anti-codon, which is responsible for specific mRNA codon recognition, and the 3' end, to which the tRNAs corresponding amino acid is attached (by aminoacyl-tRNA synthetases). tRNAs cope with the degeneracy of the genetic code in two manners: having more than one tRNA (with a specific anti-codon) for a particular amino acid; and 'wobble' base-pairing, i.e. permitting non-standard base-pairing at the 3rd anti-codon position.
Source: RNAcentral